RNAcentral lists this ribosomal RNA (500 nucleotides) under uncultured bacterium. RNAcentral describes it as "partial 16S ribosomal RNA". It matches the Rfam family "Bacterial small subunit ribosomal RNA", at positions 30 to 523 of the family's 1533-position model. The record is from RNAcentral.
AUUGAACGCUGGCGGCAUGCCUUACACAUGCAAGUCGAACGGCAGCACGGGAGCAAUCCUGGUGGCGAGUGGCGAAUGGGUGAGUAAAGUAUCGGAACGUGCCCAGUCGUGGGGGAUAACGUAGCGAAAGUUACGCUAAUACCGCAUACGAUCUAUGGAUGAAAGCGGGGGAUCGCAAGACCUCGCGCGAUUGGAGCGGCCGAUAUCAGAUUAGGUAGUUGGUGGGGUAAAGGCUCACCAAGCCGACGAUCUGUAGCUGGUCUGAGAGGACGACCAGCCACACUGGGACUGAGACACGGCCCAGACUCCUACGGGAGGCAGCAGUGGGGAAUUUUGGACAAUGGGCGAAAGCCUGAUCCAGCCAUGCCGCGUGCAGGAUGAAGGCCUUCGGGUUGUAAACUGCUUUUGUACGGAACGAAACGGUGAACUCUAAUACAGUUUGCUAAUGACGGUGCCGUAAGAAUAAGCACCGGCUAACUACGUGCCAGCCGCCGCGGUAA